UACGUAGGGUGCAAGCGUUGUCCGGAAUUAUUGGGCGUAAGGAGCUCGUAGGCGGUCUGUCGCGUCGGCUGUGAAAACACGGGGCUUAACCCCGUGCCUGCUUCCGAUACGGGCAGACUAGAGGUAUGCAGGGGAGAACGGAAUUCCUGGUGUAGCGGUGAAAUGCGCAGAUAUCAGGAGGAACACCAAUAGCGAAGGCAGCUCGCUGGGACGGUACUGACGCUAAGGCGCGAAAGCGUGGGGAGCGAACAGG
This 253-nucleotide ribosomal RNA is filed under the name uncultured bacterium. Its description in RNAcentral is "partial 16S ribosomal RNA". It matches the Rfam family "Bacterial small subunit ribosomal RNA", at positions 524 to 776 of the family's 1533-position model. The record is from RNAcentral.